This 147-nucleotide non-coding RNA is filed under the name Sporobacter termitidis. RNAcentral describes it as "MoCo sequence". It matches the Rfam family "Molybdenum/Tungsten riboswitch aptamer (Moco RNA motif)". The record is from RNAcentral. RNAcentral also lists the same sequence under 1 other name. Lineage: Bacteria; Bacillati; Bacillota; Clostridia; Eubacteriales; Oscillospiraceae.
AUCCAAUAUUGGCUCCGAGCUGCAACACCUGUCACAAAGUUCAUGGCGGUGCAGCCUGGGCGGCGGCGUUUUUGCCGCGCGCCCGCACGGUUUUGCUGGAAACGGCAGGGCCUUCUGUUUUGAAAAGGAGCAAUACAUAGGCGGCGC